CGCGGAGUAGAGCAGUCUGGUUAGCUCGUUGGGCUCAUAACCCGAAGGCCAGUGGUUCAAAUCCACUCUCCGCUAC
Molecule: transfer RNA, 76 nt
Filed under: Fragilariopsis cylindrus
Lineage: Eukaryota; Bacillariophyta; Bacillariophyceae; Bacillariales; Bacillariaceae
Description: tRNA-Met
Rfam family: tRNA
About the family: Transfer RNA (tRNA) molecules are approximately 80 nucleotides in length.
Source: RNAcentral